This 2902-nucleotide ribosomal RNA is filed under the name Escherichia coli HVH 107 (4-5860571). Its description in RNAcentral is "bacterial LSU rRNA". It matches the Rfam family "Bacterial large subunit ribosomal RNA". The record is from RNAcentral. Lineage: Bacteria; Pseudomonadati; Pseudomonadota; Gammaproteobacteria; Enterobacterales; Enterobacteriaceae.
UUAAGCGACUAAGCGUACACGGUGGAUGCCCUGGCAGUCAGAGGCGAUGAAGGACGUGCUAAUCUGCGAUAAGCGUCGGUGAGGUGAUAUGAAUCGUUAUAACCGGCGAUUUCCGAAUGGGGAAACCCAGUGUGUUUCGACACACUAUCAUUAACUGAAUCCAUAGGUUAAUGAGGCGAACCGGGGGAACUGAAACAUCUAAGUACCCCGAGGAAAAGAAAUCAACCGAGAUUCCCCCAGUAGCGGCGAGCGAACGGGGAGGAGCCCAGAGCCUGAAUCAGUGUGUGUGUUAGUGGAAGCGUCUGGAAAGGCGUGCGAUACAGGGUGACAGCCCCGUACACAAAAAUGCACAUAUUGUGAGCUCGAUGAGUAGGGCGGGACACGUGGUAUCCUGUCUGAAUAUGGGGGGACCAUCCUCCAAGGCUAAAUACUCCUGACUGACCGAUAGUGAACCAGUACCGUGAGGGAAAGGCGAAAAGAACCCCGGCGAGGGGAGUGAAAAAGAACCUGAAACCGUGUACGUACAAGCAGUGGGAGCCUCUUAAUGGGGUGACUGCGUACCUUUUGUAUAAUGGGUCAGCGACUUAUAUUCUGUAGCAAGGUUAACCGAAUAGGGGAGCCGAAGGGAAACCGAGUCUUAACUGGGCGUUAAGUUGCAGGGUAUAGACCCGAAACCCGGUGAUCUAGCCAUGGGCAGGUUGAAGGUUGGGUAACACUAACUGGAGGACCGAACCGACUAAUGUUGAAAAAUUAGCGGAUGACUUGUGGCUGGGGGUGAAAGGCCAAUCAAACCGGGAGAUAGCUGGUUCUCCCCGAAAGCUAUUUAGGUAGCGCCUCGUGAAUUCAUCUCCGGGGGUAGAGCACUGUUUCGGCAAGGGGGUCAUCCCGACUUACCAACCCGAUGCAAACUGCGAAUACCGGAGAAUGUUAUCACGGGAGACACACGGCGGGUGCUAACGUCCGUCGUGAAGAGGGAAACAACCCAGACCGCCAGCUAAGGUCCCAAAGUCAUGGUUAAGUGGGAAACGAUGUGGGAAGGCCCAGACAGCCAGGAUGUUGGCUUAGAAGCAGCCAUCAUUUAAAGAAAGCGUAAUAGCUCACUGGUCGAGUCGGCCUGCGCGGAAGAUGUAACGGGGCUAAACCAUGCACCGAAGCUGCGGCAGCGACACUAUGUGUUGUUGGGUAGGGGAGCGUUCUGUAAGCCUGUGAAGGUGGCCUGUGAGGGUUGCUGGAGGUAUCAGAAGUGCGAAUGCUGACAUAAGUAACGAUAAAGCGGGUGAAAAGCCCGCUCGCCGGAAGACCAAGGGUUCCUGUCCAACGUUAAUCGGGGCAGGGUGAGUCGACCCCUAAGGCGAGGCCGAAAGGCGUAGUCGAUGGGAAACAGGUUAAUAUUCCUGUACUUGGUGUUACUGCGAAGGGGGGACGGAGAAGGCUAUGUUGGCCGGGCGACGGUUGUCCCGGUUUAAGCGUGUAGGCUGGUUUUCCAGGCAAAUCCGGAAAACCAAGGCUGAGGCGUGAUGACGAGGCACUACGGUGCUGAAGCGACAAAUGCCCUGCUUCCAGGAAAAGCCUCUAAGCAUCAGGUAACAUCAAAUCGUACCCCAAACCGACACAGGUGGUCAGGUAGAGAAUACCAAGGCGCUUGAGAGAACUCGGGUGAAGGAACUAGGCAAAAUGGUGCCGUAACUUCGGGAGAAGGCACGCUGAUAUGUAGGUGAAGCGACUUGCUCGUGGAGCUGAAAUCAGUCGAAGAUACCAGCUGGCUGCAACUGUUUAUUAAAAACACAGCACUGUGCAAACACGAAAGUGGACGUAUACGGUGUGACGCCUGCCCGGUGCCGGAAGGUUAAUUGAUGGGGUUAGCGGUAACGCGAAGCUCUUGAUCGAAGCCCCGGUAAACGGCGGCCGUAACUAUAACGGUCCUAAGGUAGCGAAAUUCCUUGUCGGGUAAGUUCCGACCUGCACGAAUGGCGUAAUGAUGGCCAGGCUGUCUCCACCCGAGACUCAGUGAAAUUGAACUCGCUGUGAAGAUGCAGUGUACCCGCGGCAAGACGGAAAGACCCCGUGAACCUUUACUAUAGCUUGACACUGAACAUUGAGCCUUGAUGUGUAGGAUAGGUGGGAGGCUUUGAAGUGUGGACGCCAGUCUGCAUGGAGCCGACCUUGAAAUACCACCCUUUAAUGUUUGAUGUUCUAACGUGGGCCCCUAAUCGGGGUUGCGGACAGUGUCUGGUGGGUAGUUUGACUGGGGCGGUCUCCUCCUAAAGAGUAACGGAGGAGCACGAAGGUUGGCUAAUCCUGGUCGGACAUCAGGAGGUUAGUGCAAUGGCAUAAGCCAGCUUGACUGCGAGCGUGACGGCGCGAGCAGGUGCGAAAGCAGGUCAUAGUGAUCCGGUGGUUCUGAAUGGAAGGGCCAUCGCUCAACGGAUAAAAGGUACUCCGGGGAUAACAGGCUGAUACCGCCCAAGAGUUCAUAUCGACGGCGGUGUUUGGCACCUCGAUGUCGGCUCAUCACAUCCUGGGGCUGAAGUAGGUCCCAAGGGUAUGGCUGUUCGCCAUUUAAAGUGGUACGCGAGCUGGGUUUAGAACGUCGUGAGACAGUUCGGUCCCUAUCUGCCGUGGGCGCUGGAGAACUGAGGGGGGCUGCUCCUAGUACGAGAGGACCGGAGUGGACGCAUCACUGGUGUUCGGGUUGUCAUGCCAAUGGCACUGCCCGGUAGCUAAAUGCGGAAGAGAUAAGUGCUGAAAGCAUCUAAGCACGAAACUUGCCCCGAGAUGAGUUCUCCCUGAGACUUAGAGUCUCCUGAAGGAACGUUGAAGACGACGACGUUGAUAGGCCGGGUGUGUAAGCGCAGCGAUGCGUUGAGCUAACCGGUACUAAUGAACCGUGAGGCUUAACCUU